UGGAUCAGUGGCGAACGGGUGAGUAACACGUGGGCAACCUGCCCCAGACUUCGGGAUAACUCCUCGAAAGAGGUGCUAAUACCGGAUACGAACUCCCAAGGCAUCUUGGGAGUUGGAAAGUUUUUCGGUCUGGGAUGGGCCCGCGGCCUAUCAGCUAGUUGGUGAGGUAAUGGCUCACCAAGGCGACGACGGGUAGCCGGCCUGAGAGGGCGACCGGCCACACUGGGACUGAGACACGGCCCAGACUCC
This 249-nucleotide ribosomal RNA is filed under the name uncultured bacterium. Its description in RNAcentral is "partial 16S ribosomal RNA". It matches the Rfam family "Bacterial small subunit ribosomal RNA", at positions 88 to 339 of the family's 1533-position model. The record is from RNAcentral.